UACGUAGGGUGCGAGCGUUAAUCGGAAUUACUGGGCGUAAAGCGUGCGCAGGCGGUUUUGUAAGUCAGAUGUGAAAUCCCCGGGCUUAACCUGGGAAUGGCAUUUGGGACUGCAAGGCUUGAGUGCGGCAGAGGAGACUGGAAUUCCUGGUGUAGCAGUGAAAUGCGUAGAUAUCAGGAGGAACACCGAUGGCGAAGGCAGGUCUCUGGGCUGACACUGACGCUCAUGCACGGAAGCGUGGGGAGCAAACAGG
RNAcentral lists this ribosomal RNA (253 nucleotides) under uncultured bacterium. Its description in RNAcentral is "partial 16S ribosomal RNA". It matches the Rfam family "Bacterial small subunit ribosomal RNA", at positions 524 to 776 of the family's 1533-position model. The record is from RNAcentral.